This 74-nucleotide transfer RNA is filed under the name Verrucomicrobiota bacterium. Its description in RNAcentral is "tRNA-Gly". It matches the Rfam family "tRNA". Rfam says of the family: Transfer RNA (tRNA) molecules are approximately 80 nucleotides in length. Lineage: Bacteria; Pseudomonadati; Verrucomicrobiota. The record is from RNAcentral.
GCGGGUGUCGUACAAUGGUAGUACGUGAGCUUCCCAAGCUCGAGACGUGGGUUCGAUUCCCAUCACCCGCUCCA